UGCGAUAAGCGUCGGUGAGGUGAUAUGAACCGUUAUAACCGGCGAUUUCCGAAUGGGGAAACCCAGUGUGUUUCGACACACUAUCAUUAACUGAAUCCAUAGGUUAAUGAGGCGAACCGGGGGAACUGAAACAUCUAAGUACCCCGAGGAAAAGAAAUCAACCGAGAUUCCCCCAGUAGCGGCGAGCGAACGGGGAGGAGCCCAGAGCCUGAAUCAGUGUGUGUGUUAGUGGAAGCGUCUGGAAAGGCGCGCGAUACAGGGUGACAGCCCCGUACACAAAAAUGCACAUAUUGUGAGCUCGAUGAGUAGGGCGGGACACGUGGUAUCCUGUCUGAAUAUGGGGGGACCAUCCUCCAAGGCUAAAUACUCCUGACUGACCGAUAGUGAACCAGUACCGUGAGGGAAAGGCGAAAAGAACCCCGGCGAGGGGAGUGAAAAAGAACCUGAAACCGUGUACGUACAAGCAGUGGGAGCCUCUUAAUGGGGUGACUGCGUACCUUUUGUAUAAUGGGUCAGCGACUUAUAUUCUGUAGCAAGGUUAACCGAAUAGGGGAGCCGAAGGGAAACCGAGUCUUAACUGGGCGUUAAGUUGCAGGGUAUAGACCCGAAACCCGGUGAUCUAGCCAUGGGCAGGUUGAAGGUUGGGUAACACUAACUGGAGGACCGAACCGACUAAUGUUGAAAAAUUAGCGGAUGACUUGUGGCUGGGGGUGAAAGGCCAAUCAAACCGGGAGAUAGCUGGUUCUCCCCGAAAGCUAUUUAGGUAGCGCCUCGUGAAUUCAUCUCCGGGGGUAGAGCACUGUUUCGGCAAGGGGGUCAUCCCGACUUACCAACCCGAUGCAAACUGCGAAUACCGGAGAAUGUUAUCACGGGAGACACACGGCGGGUGCUAACGUCCGUCGUGAAGAGGGAAACAACCCAGACCGCCAGCUAAGGUCCCAAAGUCAUGGUUAAGUGGGAAACGAUGUGGGAAGGCCCAGACAGCCAGGAUGUUGGCUUAGAAGCAGCCAUCAUUUAAAGAAAGCGUAAUAGCUCACUGGUCGAGUCGGCCUGCGCGGAAGAUGUAACGGGGCUAAACCAUGCACCGAAGCUGCGGCAGCGACACUAUGUGUUGUUGGGUAGGGGAGCGUUCUGUAAGCCUGUGAAGGUGGCCUGUGAGGGUUGCUGGAGGUAUCAGAAGUGCGAAUGCUGACAUAAGUAACGAUAAAGCGGGUGAAAAGCCCGCUCGCCGGAAGACCAAGGGUUCCUGUCCAACGUUAAUCGGGGCAGGGUGAGUCGACCCCUAAGGCGAGGCCGAAAGGCGUAGUCGAUGGGAAACAGGUUAAUAUUCCUGUACUUGGUGUUACUGCGAAGGGGGGACGGAGAAGGCUAUGUUGGCCGGGCGACGGUUGUCCCGGUUUAAGCGUGUAGGCUGGUUUUCCAGGCAAAUCCGGAAAACCAAGGCUGAGGCGUGAUGACGAGGCACUACGGUGCUGAAGCGACAAAUGCCCUGCUUCCAGGAAAAGCCUCUAAGCAUCAGGUAACAUCAAAUCGUACCCCAAACCGACACAGGUGGUCAGGUAGAGAAUACCAAGGCGCUUGAGAGAACUCGGGUGAAGGAACUAGGCAAAAUGGUGCCGUAACUUCGGGAGAAGGCACGCUGAUAUGUAGGUGAAGCGACUUGCUCGUGGAGCUGAAAUCAGUCGAAGAUACCAGCUGGCUGCAACUGUUUAUUAAAAACACAGCACUGUGCAAACACGAAAGUGGACGUAUACGGUGUGACGCCUGCCCGGUGCCGGAAGGUUAAUUGAUGGGGUUAGCGGCAACGCGAAGCUCUUGAUCGAAGCCCCGGUAAACGGCGGCCGUAACUAUAACGGUCCUAAGGUAGCGAAAUUCCUUGUCGGGUAAGUUCCGACCUGCACGAAUGGCGUAAUGAUGGCCAGGCUGUCUCCACCCGAGACUCAGUGAAAUUGAACUCGCUGUGAAGAUGCAGUGUACCCGCGGCAAGACGGAAAGACCCCGUGAACCUUUACUAUAGCUUGACACUGAACAUUGAGCCUUGAUGUGUAGGAUAGGUGGGAGGCUUUGAAGUGUGGACGCCAGUCUGCAUGGAGCCGACCUUGAAAUACCACCCUUUAAUGUUUGAUGUUCUAACGUUGGCCCGUAAUCCGGGUUGCGGACAGUGUCUGGUGGGUAGUUUGACUGGGGCGGUCUCCUCCUAAAGAGUAACGGAGGAGCACGAAGGUUGGCUAAUCCUGGUCGGACAUCAGGAGGUUAGUGCAAUGGCAUAAGCCAGCUUAACUGCGAGCGUGACGGCGCGAGCAGGUGCGAAAGCAGGUCAUAGUGAUCCGGUGGUUCUGAAUGGAAGGGCCAUCGCUCAACGGAUAAAAGGUACUCCGGGGAUAACAGGCUGAUACCGCCCAAGAGUUCAUAUCGACGGCGGUGUUUGGCACCUCGAUGUCGGCUCAUCACAUCCUGGGGCUGAAGUAGGUCCCAAGGGUAUGGCUGUUCGCCAUUUAAAGUGGUACGCGAGCUGGGUUUAGAACGUCGUGAGACAGUUCGGUCCCUAUCUGCCGUGGGCGCUGGAGAACUGAGGGGGGCUGCUCCUAGUACGAGAGGACCGGAGUGGACGCAUCACUGGUGUUCGGGUUGUCAUGCCAAUGGCACUGCCCGGUAGCUAAAUGCGGAAGAGAUAAGUGCUGAAAGCAUCUAAGCACGAAACUUGCCCCGAGAUGAGUUCUCCCUGAGACUUAGAGUCUCCUGAAGGAACGUUGAAGACGACGACGUUGAUAGGCCGGGUGUGUAAGCGCAGCGAUGCGUUGAGCUAACCGGUACUAAUGAACCGUGAGGCUUAACCUU
This 2838-nucleotide ribosomal RNA is filed under the name Escherichia coli KTE169. Its description in RNAcentral is "bacterial LSU rRNA". It matches the Rfam family "Bacterial large subunit ribosomal RNA". The record is from RNAcentral. Lineage: Bacteria; Pseudomonadati; Pseudomonadota; Gammaproteobacteria; Enterobacterales; Enterobacteriaceae.